AACAACAGGGAUUGCCUCAGUAACGGCGAGUGAAGCGGCAACAGCUCAAAUUUGAAAUCUGCCGCAAGGCCGAGUUGUAAUUUGUAGAGGAUGCUUCUGGGCAGCGGCCGGUCUAAGUUCCUUGGAACAGGACGUCAUAGAGGGUGAGAAUCCCGUAUGCGACCGGUUGGCACCCGUCACGUAGCUCCUUCGACGAGUCNAGUUGUUUGGGAAUGCAGCUCUAAAUGGGUGGUAAAUUCCAUCUGAAGCUAAAUACCGGCCAGAGACCGAUAGCGCACAAGUAGAGUGAUCGAAAGAUGAAAAGCACUUUGGAAAGAGAGUUAAAAAGCACGUGAAAUUGUUGAAAGGGAAGCGCAUGCAACCAGACUUGUCGGCGGUGUUCCGCCGGUCUUCUGACCGGUCUACUCGCCGCCGACAGGCCAGCAUCGUGUGGGUGUGCCGGAUAAAGGCGUCGGGAAUGUGGCCCCUCGGGGUGUUAUAGCCCGGCGCAUAAUACGGUGCCGCCCGCGCGAGGUCCGCGCUUCGGCUAGGAUGCUGGCGUAAUGGUCGUAUGCGGCCCGUCUUGAAACACGGACCAAGGAGUCUAACAUCUGUGCGAGUGUUCGGGUGUCAAACCCCUACGCGGAAUGAAAGUGAACGGAGGUGGGAGCUUCGGCGCACCAUCGACCGAUCCUGAUGUCCUCGGAUGGAUUUGAGUAAGAGCGUAGCUGUUGGGACCCGAAAGAUGGUGAACUAUGCCUGAAUAGGGUGAAGCCAGAGGAAACUCUGGUGGAGGCUCGCA
This 781-nucleotide ribosomal RNA is filed under the name uncultured fungus. RNAcentral's name for it is "LSU rRNA". It matches the Rfam family "Eukaryotic large subunit ribosomal RNA", at positions 64 to 879 of the family's 3401-position model. The record is from RNAcentral. Lineage: Eukaryota; Fungi.